GGAGGGGUGGCCGAGAGGCUGAAGGCGGCAGUUUGCUAAAUUGUUAUACGAUCUCAAGUCGUAUCGAGGGUUCGAAUCCCUCUCCCUCCGCCA
Molecule: transfer RNA, 93 nt
Filed under: Candidatus Phycorickettsia trachydisci
Lineage: Bacteria; Pseudomonadati; Pseudomonadota; Alphaproteobacteria; Rickettsiales; Rickettsiaceae
Description: tRNA-Ser
Rfam family: tRNA
About the family: Transfer RNA (tRNA) molecules are approximately 80 nucleotides in length. Their secondary structure includes four short double-helical elements and three loops (D, anti-codon, and T loops).
Source: RNAcentral